This 253-nucleotide ribosomal RNA is filed under the name uncultured bacterium. RNAcentral's name for it is "partial 16S ribosomal RNA". It matches the Rfam family "Bacterial small subunit ribosomal RNA", at positions 524 to 776 of the family's 1533-position model. The record is from RNAcentral.
GACGAACCGUCCAAACGUUAUUCGGAAUCACUGGGCUUACAGAGUUCGUAGGCGGUCUGGAAAGUUGGGUGUGAAAUCCCUCGGCCUAACCGAGGAACUGCGCUUGAAACUACCAGACUCGAGGGAGAUAGAGGAAAGCGGAACUGAUGGUGGAGCGGUGAAAUGCGUUGAUAUCAUCAGGAACACCGGUGGCGAAGGCGGCUUUCUGGGUCCUACCUGACGCUGAGGAACGAAAGCCAGGGGAGCGAACGGG